CGGCAGGGCCAAGGCUGCCUUUGAGAAAGCGCGCGUCAAGGAUGGCAAGGACAUGCUGCCGAAGCUGGUGGCCGAGUGCGACAAGAUCGACUUCGGCGACUGACUAAGAGCAAGGGUGAAAGGGUGCGGCAAGAGCGCACCGCGCGACUGGUAACAGAAGCGGCAUGGCAAACCCCACCGGGAGCAAGACCGAAUAGGGACGGCACAUGAGGUGUUCCGCCUCGUCGUCCGGGUUGGUUGCUUGAGGGGCGGAGCAAUCCGUCCCCUAGAGGAAUGGCCGCACAUCGCUUUAGGGCGAGGACAGAACCCGGCUUAUAGACCCUCUGGCAUU
This 331-nucleotide RNase P RNA is filed under the name Sphingomonadales bacterium. RNAcentral describes it as "RNase P RNA component class A". It matches the Rfam family "Bacterial RNase P class A", at positions 112 to 367 of the family's 367-position model. Rfam says of the family: Ribonuclease P (RNase P) is a ubiquitous endoribonuclease, found in archaea, bacteria and eukarya as well as chloroplasts and mitochondria. Lineage: Bacteria; Pseudomonadati; Pseudomonadota; Alphaproteobacteria; Sphingomonadales. The record is from RNAcentral.